UCUCCCCAGCAGGAUUAAUGCUGCUGGAAAUCACGAGGGCUUGGACUAGCUAUCAACUUUAUCAGGAAAGCUUCUUUCCGGCCAAGCUUUGCUAAGCGGGAAUCUUGGGUUGGAGCUGCUCCUCUCAUAUUUCACAGAUGGCCUCAAUGAAUGAUUUACUAGGAGAGUAAAAGAUUAGCCAGAUUCCUCCAGCGGCAUCUUGAGUCGCAUAAAGCACUGGGUUUUACUGGGGCCUAGGCAAGCCCUAACUCUUUACCCUUGUUAGCCUGUUUUACAGUGACUAAUUGCCCGGCACUCCCUUCCCUGGGAAUGGGGAGUCUGCUGGUGAGGAACCCACGCUCCUCGCACGAGCAGCUUUGGAACAGCCACAGCAGCGAAGGCUUCUCCAUGCAGUCAGGCUAAAAGCUACCUAGGAAAAAGGAACGAGAAGAAACAGCCCUGACAGUCUUGUCCUCAAGGCACCAGAAGAAGUCAAAGCUGCUCAGUCUGCCCCAGAAGCACAGAGGAUCCUGUCUGAGCGUGUCCCGGAGCGUGGCAGCCCCGGCUUGCACCCAGCAUGAGGAUGAUUGCUCAGUGGUAAGGGUAAGAAAGGAAACAGCUGUGAUCCUGUUCUGGAGCAUUUGCUCUUAUUCAUCCCCUUAGAUGUAUCUCAAUGUAAAUAACCUUUCAUAUCAUUUUACAAAGUGAUUGCUGAGUGGGUUGGAGGAGAAGGGAUUCUGUAAUGUAAUAAUUUCUGUCUUUUCUCUUUAUUUUCCUGCUUGGUCAUAGAAAGGAAAUCUGGCUGGUUGUUAAUUUGAAAGCAUUUGGAGUGGUGAUGGCAUAGUAGAUAUGAAAUUUCACAGUGCUCUGGCAACUCCUAAUGUAUUGAGACUUUCAGAUGAAGAAAUGAAAGCUGCCUGUGAAGGAUUCCCAUUUGUCAUGAAAACCCCACAGUACUAUGGGACAGCUGUUUGCCUGGGAUCUGUAUCUCAGAUGUAAGGAACCAGAACAGACAUGUGCUCUGUUGUACAAAGACCAUAACCCCAGAGACAGGGAGAAGUUCUUUGGAGAAGGCAGUUGGCAAGAGCAAAAUGGGAAUGAAAGGGUCUUGAGGAAUAAUGUCCUGAAUGUGCUGCACAGUGCUGCCAGGAGCCAGGCAAGGCUGGUGACAGGGGGAUGCUGCAGGACUCCUCACUGUGCACCUUGCUUCAGACCCGGCCACAGACACGUUUCUAAGCCAGCCCUGCAAGCAACUUCAACCUGGCCACUGCCCAUCAGCACAAGGAGACU
This is a long non-coding RNA of Strigops habroptila (Kakapo), 1269 nucleotides long. RefSeq lists it as uncharacterized. Lineage: Eukaryota; Metazoa; Chordata; Aves; Psittaciformes; Psittacidae. The transcript has 4 exons. The record is from RefSeq and is a predicted model, not a curated record.